RNAcentral lists this ribosomal RNA (472 nucleotides) under uncultured bacterium. RNAcentral's name for it is "bacterial SSU rRNA". It matches the Rfam family "Bacterial small subunit ribosomal RNA", at positions 355 to 825 of the family's 1533-position model. The record is from RNAcentral.
UGGGGAAUAUUGCGCAAUGGGCGAAAGCCUGACGCAGCAACGCCGCGUGAGUGAUGAAGGCCUUCGGGUCGUAAAGCUCUGUCGGAGGGAACGAAUGCUCCUGAAGUUAACAGCCUCGGGGGGUGACGGUACCCUCAAAGGAAGCACCGGCUAACUCUGUGCCAGCAGCCGCGGUAAUACAGAGGUGGCAAGCGUUGUUCGGAAUUACUGGGCGUAAAGGGCGCGUAGGCGGCCUACUAAGUCAGACGUGAAAUCCCCGGCUUAACCUGGGAACUGCGUCUGAUACUGGAAGGCUUGAGUAUGGGAGAGGGAUGUAGAAUUCCAGGUGUAGCGGUGAAAUGCGUAGAUAUCUGGAGGAAUACCGGUGGCGAAGGCGGCAUCCUGGACCAUUACUGACGCUGAGGCGCGAAAGCUAGGGGAGCAAACGGGAUUAGAUACCCUCGUAGUCCCUGAGCGGGCUGGCAAGGCGCAU